Molecule: ribosomal RNA, 386 nt
Filed under: uncultured bacterium
Lineage: Bacteria
Description: bacterial SSU rRNA
Rfam family: Bacterial small subunit ribosomal RNA
Source: RNAcentral
AUUGAACGCUGGCGGAAUGCUUUACACAUGCAAGUCGAGCGGCAGCGCGGGGCAACCUGGCGGCGAGCGGCGAACGGGUGAGUAACAUAUCGGAACGUACCCAGUCGUGGGGGAUAACUAUCCGAAAGGAUAGCUAAUACCGCAUACGACCUGAGGGUGAAAGGGGGGGAUCGCAAGACCUCUCGCGAUUGGAGCGGCCGAUAUCGGAUUAGCUAGUUGGUGAGGUAAAGGCUCACCAAGGCGACGAUCCGUAGCUGGUCUGAGAGGACGACCAGCCACACUGGAACUGAGACACGGUCCAGACUCCUACGGGAGGCAGCAGUGGGGAAUUUUGGACAAUGGGGGCAACCCUGAUCCAGCCAUUCCGCGUGAGUGAAGAAGGCCUC